Long non-coding RNA from Hyla sarda, 381 nucleotides. RefSeq lists it as uncharacterized. The transcript has 3 exons. The record is from RefSeq and is a predicted model, not a curated record. NCBI's taxonomy places the organism in Eukaryota, Metazoa, Chordata, Amphibia, Anura, Hylidae.
UCGGCUCAGCCUAUCAUCGGCCGAGGCGGGACAUCGCUGUGGCCGGUGAUAGGCUGAAGGCUCUGUGACGUCCCAACACCAGGAAGCAGCGAUAACAGCGGAGGGACCAUGAGGCCGGUGCCUUAGCAACGGGGGAACGGAGGAUGAAGUUCCUGUCUUGAGAUGCAGUAGCUCCUCCAAGCUGCUGUCAGCUGGGAGAACGUAUUAAGGUUGCUGGAGAGCUUUUCCAGCCUACAGACUCACUUGAAGUUUGACAUUUGCAAGAAAAUGGCCGGAGCAUUGAGAAGAAGUUACACAAGGACACUGGAGGAAAUGUAAACUGCUAAAAUAAACAGUGGAAACAAACAAAGAAUUACCAAGAGAGUCUGGGGCUGCUGUGGA